This 76-nucleotide small RNA is filed under the name Flavobacterium defluvii. RNAcentral describes it as "Flavo-1 RNA". It matches the Rfam family "Flavo-1 RNA". The record is from RNAcentral. Lineage: Bacteria; Pseudomonadati; Bacteroidota; Flavobacteriia; Flavobacteriales; Flavobacteriaceae.
UUCUAGCCCUGAUGGAAGCGGCAUCCUUUUGUGGUGGGGUUCACCACAAAAGAUACAGCGGACAGCAGGAUUAGCU